UAGUGGUUUUCCAUUUGGGUGAC
Molecule: non-coding RNA, 23 nt
Filed under: Rattus norvegicus (Norway rat)
Lineage: Eukaryota; Metazoa; Chordata; Mammalia; Rodentia; Muridae
Source: RNAcentral